GCCCAGGUGGUGAAAUUGGUAGACACGCACGCUUGAGGGGCGUGUGUCGCAAGACAUGCUGGUUCGAGUCCAGUCCUGGGCA
RNAcentral lists this transfer RNA (82 nucleotides) under Bacteroidota bacterium. Its description in RNAcentral is "Bacteroidetes bacterium tRNA-Leu". It matches the Rfam family "tRNA". Rfam says of the family: Transfer RNA (tRNA) molecules are approximately 80 nucleotides in length. Their secondary structure includes four short double-helical elements and three loops (D, anti-codon, and T loops). RNAcentral also lists the same sequence under 1 other name. Lineage: Bacteria; Pseudomonadati; Bacteroidota. The record is from RNAcentral.